This 128-nucleotide ribosomal RNA is filed under the name Anaeromyces robustus. RNAcentral describes it as "5.8S ribosomal RNA". It matches the Rfam family "5.8S ribosomal RNA". Rfam says of the family: 5.8S ribosomal RNA (5.8S rRNA) is a component of the large subunit of the eukaryotic ribosome. It is transcribed by RNA polymerase I as part of the 45S precursor that also contains 18S and 28S rRNA. Lineage: Eukaryota; Fungi; Neocallimastigomycota; Neocallimastigomycetes; Neocallimastigales; Neocallimastigaceae. The record is from Rfam by way of RNAcentral.
AACUUUUAACAAUGGAUCUCUUGGUUCUCGUAACGAUGAAAAACGCAAUAAAAUAUGUGAAUCAUCAAAUUUUCGAGUGCAUAUUGCACCUUUUUAGUUUCUAAAAAAAUAUGUCUCUUUGAAUCUUU